Non-coding RNA from Oryzias latipes (Japanese medaka), 1588 nucleotides. The record is from RefSeq and is a predicted model, not a curated record. Lineage: Eukaryota; Metazoa; Chordata; Actinopteri; Beloniformes; Adrianichthyidae.
AAGAGUUUACUGCAGCCUUCCACAGGAAGGGAGAUUUGCACAAACUUCAGAUGCAGAGACUGAAAAAAAGAAAAAUGAGAGCAGAACAACGACAGUAAAAGACAGAGCUCGGAGGGAAAUGAAGAAUACCCCGCCAAGAGACACAGUGACCAGGACAUGACAGGGCCGUAUGACAGAAGCCACGCCCCCACGCCGACUUGGAGCUGAAAAGGGGAGCGGGGGACUGACGUAAAAGCACAAGUUCAACACGAUCACUGUGAAGCUUUUUCUGGUGACACUUUAUUGAUCCGUGAUUAAAGGAGCAAGUGUUUGGAGCCAAUCACCAAGCAUUCACAAUCAGACACGUUUUUGUUUUUUUAAUAUCGAUUUUCAAUAAAAGUGGCUGUCAGCUUCUAUUGUAGUUAAUUGCAAAAGUAAGUUUGUGUGUGUUGAGAAGGAUGCAGAUCUGUUGAGGACUUUUUGCUUCCUCUGUGUCAUCUCACCUAUUCUUUGCUGUGACCGUCGGUCUGUUGGAGUUCUAAAACGACGUUGUUAUCGCCACAUUUUCAUCAUUUCACAUUGAACUGACUAUCAAUGGAUUUUGGCAAAGGGGACCUAAAGAUUUUGUUUUUUAACAUGUUCUUGUGGACUUUUUCUCAUGAUGGAGGACAUCCAGUAUAUAAACAUAUUUCUUUACAUCACAGUUGCAGAAAAACCUAAGUUUGCCAGAAACCAACUAUCACAUUUUUAUGGGCUUAUACCAACAUGGUCUUGUUUGCAUCGGUUGUUUUUUUUUGACCGAUCCUGGUGUUACUCCCGAUUUUUCAAAAUGUAUCUUUAUCUUAGAGUAAUAAUCAGUACCCAGCGAAUGUAAAUAAAAAAGAAAAACUUGUGUUUAUAUAGAAGGAUCACUAUUGUUUCCAUCAUGUUUGUGCUGCAGCUCACUUGCACCAGCUUUCAGAAGUCUUAGUGAAAUAUUAGGGAAAGGUCGUUACAUACACGCGUGACAUCAUCUGUUCCUUAAGUGACUUUGGCAGACAUUUAAAAGGCAUUUGGAGUGUGGGCUGUCUCCUGCUCUCCUACGCCAAACCCGUGACAUUCAGAGGCCUCUGCUCAGGCUGCAUGACUGCUGGCAUCAUGACAUGUGGCUGCUGAGCACUGACUGGACUCAAUACCAAUUGGCUAACUCACUGCUUUCACAAAACAAUCAAUUUAGGUGUUUUUUUUCUCAUGUUUUUGUUUUCCUUUUCAAACUAGUAGUGGUGUUUUAUUGGAUUUGUUUUGUCAUCGUGAGCUCUUUGACAAGAAGUGGCAUUGAGCUGGGAAACCUGUUAAGGGGCGACGGCGUUAAGCAUACCAAUGGAUGCAUAUCCUUAUGUCAAAGUAUAAUCAAACCUUAAUCUGCCAAACAACUAAAUAAAAUACUCUUCAGAUGCUAGAAAGUGUUCUAAUGCAGAAUUGAGUAUAAAAGCCAUUUAAUUUAUAAUUUUAUGAAAUUAAAUAUUGUUUUUUCCUGUUAUUGUGUGUUUUAUGUUUUGUUUUUUUCACUUCUAGAAAACCUUGGGUGCCCACAAAGAUACCAUAUAAAUAAAAUGUAUUCUUAUUAUGA